Molecule: transfer RNA, 70 nt
Filed under: Bovicola bovis (cattle chewing louse)
Lineage: Eukaryota; Metazoa; Arthropoda; Insecta; Psocodea; Bovicoliidae
Description: tRNA-Met
Source: RNAcentral
GUCAGUUGAUGGGCUCAGUUCCUACCAAGUUACACCUUAUUACAGAUUGAUAAUUUCGGAGGCAGGGUGG